GACGAACGCUGGCGGCGUGCCUAACACAUGCAAGUCGAACGGGACCGGGGGCAACUCCGGUUCAGUGGCAGAUGGGUGCGUAACACGUGAGGAACUUGUCCGUCGGCGGGGGAUAGCCGGCCCAACGGCCGGGUAAUACCGCAUCCGCUCGCUCGGGGGCAUCCCUGAGCGAGGAAAGCAGCCGCAAGGUUGCGCCGACGGAGAGUCUCGCGGCCUAUCAGCUUGUUGGCGGGGUAAUGGCCCACCAAGGCGACGACGGGUAGCUGGUCUGAGAGGAUGGCCAGCCACAUUGGGACUGAGACACGGCCCAGACUCCUACGGGAGGCAGCAGUGGGGAAUAUUGCGCAAUGGCCGCAAGGCUGACGCAGCGACGCCGCGUGUGGGAUGACGGCCUUCGGGUUGUAAACCACUGUCGGGGGGGACGAAUACUCGGCUUCGAAUAGGAGCCCGAGGGUGACGGUACCUCCAAAGGAAGCACCGGCUAACUCCGUGC
RNAcentral lists this ribosomal RNA (493 nucleotides) under uncultured bacterium. Its description in RNAcentral is "bacterial SSU rRNA". It matches the Rfam family "Bacterial small subunit ribosomal RNA", at positions 28 to 508 of the family's 1533-position model. The record is from RNAcentral.